AUUCCUUUGUUCCGGUUUCAUCUUACCCGGCCACUGUAUCUUAUGAUCCUAACACAGUUGCAGAGCAAGUAACGACGACCGAAGACUUAGAGUCCUUGCAUUUGUUGUCGUCUAAGUGUGAUUUCACACAUAGUACACCAAAGCCCUACCACCCCACGAGUGACUCCAUUGAGAGGGGACAAAAGGACACCCCUUUACAAAAGACAUCUGAUGAGACAAUCCAUGCCGUAGAAGCCGGAGAAGGGUCUGAAGACACAGGACUAACAGCCGC
Long non-coding RNA from Perca fluviatilis (European perch), 271 nucleotides. RefSeq lists it as uncharacterized. NCBI's taxonomy places the organism in Eukaryota, Metazoa, Chordata, Actinopteri, Perciformes, Percidae. The transcript has 3 exons. The record is from RefSeq and is a predicted model, not a curated record.